GCACUGCCCCGGCCUGCCGCUGGCCGUGCCGGUUAGGCACGACGGGAGGAAAGUCCGGGCAGCUUAGGGCGCUCCACUUCUGAAAGUAGAAGCAGUCGGCGACGGCUGGUAAGGGAAGAAGAAAACGACCGCCACAUUCUUAUUUUAUCAUUGUCAAGAGAACGUGGUAAGGGUGAGAAGGUGGUGUAAGAGACCACCAGGCGACGGGCGACCGUCGUGCUGUUCCCGCUGGAGGCUGCAAGUUCAUGUAAACCGUCGACACUGAGGGUUGCCCGCCCGAGUAGUCUACGAGGCGAUGCGACGGAGGGUAGAACGCUGGAGGCUCGUGGCGACGCGGGCAGUAGAUAAAUGGCAGGCACUGCCUUUCGACAAAUGUGUUCACAAGUUAUGGUUAAAGGCAGUACAGAACCCGGCUUACAGGGGCAAUGCUUUC
This 433-nucleotide RNase P RNA is filed under the name Prevotella sp. Its description in RNAcentral is "RNase P RNA component class A". It matches the Rfam family "Bacterial RNase P class A". From Rfam's summary of the family: Ribonuclease P (RNase P) is a ubiquitous endoribonuclease, found in archaea, bacteria and eukarya as well as chloroplasts and mitochondria. Its best characterised activity is the generation of mature 5'-ends of tRNAs by cleaving the 5'-leader elements of precursor-tRNAs. Cellular RNase Ps are ribonucleoproteins. Lineage: Bacteria; Pseudomonadati; Bacteroidota; Bacteroidia; Bacteroidales; Prevotellaceae. The record is from RNAcentral.